AUACUCCUACCUUGACUUUAAAGAUGAGCUGAAAAGAAAGCCAGACAAAAAUCGUCCUGCACCAACUGAAUACGCCAGUAUUGAUAUGAGUAAACUGGCACCUGUCGAGAAAAAAGACGACAAGAAAGGCGGUGACAAAGAAGGAGAUGAAAAGAAGGAAUAAACUGGCGAUCGUCGUUAAUAAAACAAGAACAGAAUACAAGAUGGCAAAGUUUGACUUCCUUUCAUUUGUUUUGUUCUGGUGGAUUUCAACAUGUCAAGGAAUUAUUCAAUCACCUCCCUCUGGAACAAGUUUUACAUUUCUACCUGGAGAAAC
This is a long non-coding RNA of Xenia sp. Carnegie-2017, 316 nucleotides long. RefSeq lists it as uncharacterized. Lineage: Eukaryota; Metazoa; Cnidaria; Anthozoa; Malacalcyonacea; Xeniidae. The transcript has 4 exons. The record is from RefSeq and is a predicted model, not a curated record.